GGCGGUUAAGGGCGUCAGGAUUCGAAGGAAGCAGGACCCAGUCUUUCCUGGCAAGGGCUG
Molecule: non-coding RNA, 60 nt
Filed under: Proteomonas sulcata
Lineage: Eukaryota; Cryptophyceae; Pyrenomonadales; Geminigeraceae
Source: RNAcentral